GCCAUCUUGAUUGGUUGGCCGGGUCACUGGACACAUUUUUUGAACAAGAUACCCCAAUGAUGAUUGCGGCCAAGUUUGGUUUAAAUUGGCCCAGUAGUUUCAGAGAAGAGAGUUUUGUAAAAGAUUACUAAGAUUUACGAAAAAUGGUUAAAAAUUGACUAUAAAGGGCAAUAACUCCUAUAGGGGUCAACUGACCAUUUUGGUCAUGUUAACUUAUUUGUAAAUCUUACUUUGCUGAACAUUAUUGCUGUUUACAGUUUAUCUCUUUCUAUAACCAGGUGCUCCGCAGGGCGCAGCUUUAUACGACCCCAGUGGUUGAACCCUGAACAGUUGGGGCAAAUUUGGUCACAAUAUUCAAGCUUGAUUCUGUCUUAAUUUGGAUUGUGAUAAAAUUUUUGACAUAAUAUAGGUUUUUGUCACAAAAUUAAUGUGGUCAAAGAUCUAACAAAUCUAUUGCACACUACUG
This 466-nucleotide long non-coding RNA is filed under the name Mytilus galloprovincialis (Mediterranean mussel). The record is from RNAcentral. Lineage: Eukaryota; Metazoa; Mollusca; Bivalvia; Mytilida; Mytilidae.